RNAcentral lists this ribosomal RNA (544 nucleotides) under uncultured bacterium. RNAcentral's name for it is "bacterial SSU rRNA". It matches the Rfam family "Bacterial small subunit ribosomal RNA", at positions 777 to 1320 of the family's 1533-position model. The record is from RNAcentral.
AAUAGAUACCCUGGUAGUCCACCCCGUAAACGUUGGGAACUAGUUGUGGGGACCAUUCCACGGUUUCCGUGACGCAGCUAACGCAUUAAGUUCCCCGCCUGGGGAGUACGGCCGCAAGGCUAAAACUCAAAGGAAUUGACGGGGACCCGCACAAGCGGCGGAGCAUGCGGAUUAAUUCGAUGCAACGCGAAGAACCUUACCAAGGCUUGACAUAUACGAGAACGGGCCAGAAAUGGUCAACUCUUUGGACACUCGUAAACAGGUGGUGCAUGGUUGUCGUCAGCUCGUGUCGUGAGAUGUUGGGUUAAGUCCCGCAACGAGCGCAACCCUCGUUCUAUGUUGCCAGCACGUAAUGGUGGGAACUCAUGGGAUACUGCCGGGGUCAACUCGGAGGAAGGUGGGGAUGACGUCAAAUCAUCAUGCCCCUUAUGUCUUGGGCUUCACGCAUGCUACAAUGGCCGGUACAAAGGGCUGCAAUACCGUAAGGUGAGCGAAUCCCAAAAAGCCGGUCCCAGUUCGGAUUGAGGUCUGCAACUCGACCUCA